UGAUGUCAACUGUCAACUCUGCCAUUUCGCCAGAUAUCAUAUAUCUUCCUUUAAAACCCACAGUAUGGGGAAAGGUUAGAUUAACACCAGGAAAGAAGAAUUGUAAGGGUAUUCGAGGGCAAUAAUUUAACAAAGCGAGAAAGGAUCGAUGCAGUAUUUACCAACCAAGCAUAGCUCAGACUAGUACAAGUAUGAGUACGAGUCCCACACAUUAACUUAUGUGUGGGAAAAAAUAGUCGGUCUGAAGACAAUGCUGCACUGGAUCUGGAUCGCUAGCUGCAUGCUGGAGGCUGCCGGCUGGAACUACUUUAAAGAUCAUCAUUUUGUCAAGGAAAGACAUGGGCAGAAGUCUGCAAAUAAGCACUUCCAGACUUGGACUUGGACUUGGAGUGAAUCAGUACUUUGGAUAUAUGCUACCUCUAUGGAAUUUGUCGAUGACACAUUUACGAUCAUAAACAGCAUGGAAUCGAUUGGUUUUAAUCAGUAAAGGCAAGAAUAAUAUACAUUUAUGAAUUUUGGCUGAAAAAAAUUUUGUAUUGGAAUUGUACAUGAAGCCAUGUUUUUGAGCAAUGUUUGGUCUGAGGUGCGCAACUUCAAAACCACAUGUGUGGACGUCGCGAAUUUGGACAAAAAAAUUGUGCAAGACUCAAAAGAAAAAGUCAA
This is a long non-coding RNA of Strongylocentrotus purpuratus (purple sea urchin), 663 nucleotides long. RefSeq lists it as uncharacterized. The transcript is spliced from 3 exons. The record is from RefSeq and is a predicted model, not a curated record. Lineage: Eukaryota; Metazoa; Echinodermata; Echinoidea; Camarodonta; Strongylocentrotidae.